This 240-nucleotide unclassified non-coding RNA is filed under the name soil metagenome. RNAcentral describes it as "partial contains 5.8S ribosomal RNA, internal transcribed spacer 2, and large subunit ribosomal RNA". The record is from RNAcentral.
AACCAUAGAAACCUGCGGAGUACCUGCGGCGGGAUCAUUACACAAUACAAUAUGAAGGCUGUCCGCAGCUGGAGUAUUUUAUUACCCUUGUCUUUUGCGCACUUGUUGUUUCCUGGGCGGGUUCGCUCGCCACCAGGACCACCAAAUAAACCUUUUUUAUGCAGUUGCAAUCAGCGUCAGUACAAACAAUGUAAAUCAUUUACAACUUUCAACAACGGAUCUCAGAUCGGAAGAGCACAC